GGCCCAACUACGUCAAUAAGUAAAGGUUCUGAGCCUGGUUGAGCGUUUGCAAUCGCUUCUGCAUCAGCCUUUCUUUUUUGUUGCUCUAAAUAUUCAAUACGUUUUUGCAAAUCAGGAAUACCAUAGUAUUUCAAAUCAGCAGCAAGAGUGAAAUCAUUACGACGCUCGGCAUCCUCAGCCUUAGCCUUCAACUCAUCAAGACGACGCUUAGCAUCUUGAAGUUCACUUCCACGAGACUUUUCUAAUUCAUACUUCUCACGAAUAGGUCUUGUUUCUUCUUCCACUUGUUCAGCCUCUUUACGAGCAGCCUUGAGACGUUCUUUGGAAGCUUCGUCC
This is a non-coding RNA of Schizosaccharomyces pombe (fission yeast), 336 nucleotides long. Lineage: Eukaryota; Fungi; Ascomycota; Schizosaccharomycetes; Schizosaccharomycetales; Schizosaccharomycetaceae. The record is from the annotation of a GenBank genome assembly.